GCGGUAAUAGCUCAGUUGGUAGAGCACGACCUUGCCAAGGUCGGGGUCGCGAGUUCGAGCCUCGUUUACCGCU
This 73-nucleotide transfer RNA is filed under the name Bacteroidales bacterium. Its description in RNAcentral is "tRNA-Gly". It matches the Rfam family "tRNA". From Rfam's summary of the family: Transfer RNA (tRNA) molecules are approximately 80 nucleotides in length. Their secondary structure includes four short double-helical elements and three loops (D, anti-codon, and T loops). The record is from RNAcentral. Lineage: Bacteria; Pseudomonadati; Bacteroidota; Bacteroidia; Bacteroidales. RNAcentral also lists the same sequence under 1 other name.